RNAcentral lists this ribosomal RNA (472 nucleotides) under uncultured bacterium. RNAcentral describes it as "bacterial SSU rRNA". It matches the Rfam family "Bacterial small subunit ribosomal RNA", at positions 355 to 825 of the family's 1533-position model. The record is from RNAcentral.
UGGGGAAUUUUGGACAAUGGGCGCAAGCCUGAUCCAGCCAUGCCGCGUGUGGGAAGAAGGCCUUCGGGUUGUAAACCACUUUUGUCAGGGAAGAAACGGCCUGAUCUAAUACAUUGGGUUAAUGACGGUACCUGAAGAAUAAGCACCGGCUAACUACGUGCCAGCAGCCGCGGUAAUACGUAGGGACCAAGCGUUGUUCGGAUUUACUGGGCGUAAAGGGCGCGUAGGCGGCAAUUCAAGUCAUCUGUGAAAUCUCCGGGCUUAACUCGGAACGGUCAGAUGAUACUGCUUUGCUAGAGUGCAGAAGGGGCAAUCGGAAUUCUUGGUGUAGCGGUGAAAUGCGUAGAUAUCAAGAGGAACACCUGAGGUGAAGACGGGUUGCUGGGCUGACACUGACGCUGAGGCGCGAAAGCCAGGGGAGCAAACGGGAUUAGAUACCCUAGUAGUCCCUGAGCGGGCUGGCAAGGCGCAU